Molecule: small nuclear RNA, 101 nt
Organism: Salvia splendens (bonfire salvia)
Lineage: Eukaryota; Viridiplantae; Streptophyta; Magnoliopsida; Lamiales; Lamiaceae
Source: RefSeq, a predicted model, not a curated record
GUCCAUUCGGGGACAUCCAAAAAAUUGAAAUGAUAUAGACAAAAUUAGCAUGUCUUGUGCACAAGAUGGCAUGCAUAAAUAGAGAAAUAUGUUACUCUUAG